Long non-coding RNA from Oreochromis aureus, 292 nucleotides. RefSeq lists it as uncharacterized. The transcript has 3 exons. Lineage: Eukaryota; Metazoa; Chordata; Actinopteri; Cichliformes; Cichlidae. The record is from RefSeq and is a predicted model, not a curated record.
AUGAAUAGGUGAAACGAUCCAACAAGAACUGUGAGUACUUAAAUAACCCAAAUGGCUGUGACACAGGCAUUUAUAUAUAGAAGGAGAAAAAUACAGAGAGGAAGCGGACGUGCUUUAUUUGCUGUCACUGAUAACAGAUGAGAAAGGGCAGAUUACUGAGAGGAACAAACAAGAAAAUGUUUCUGCUUCGUCUGUUCUUUCUGAUCUCAGUGCUGAGCUGCACAGCAAACCAAGCUCGUCUGACUGUGAGUCCCAGCAGCUCUCAGCUCUAUAAAGGAGACUUUGUGUCUCU